GCCAGGCAUAGUGGUGUGUGGCUGUAGUCUCAGCUACUCAGGAGGCUGAGGUGGGAGGAUUGUUUGAGCCCAGGAAUUUGAGGCUGCAGUGAGCUAUGAUCAAGCCCCUGCACUCCAGCCUGGGCAACAGAUCAAGACCCCAUCUCUA
RNAcentral lists this non-coding RNA (148 nucleotides) under Nomascus leucogenys (northern white-cheeked gibbon). The record is from Rfam by way of RNAcentral. Lineage: Eukaryota; Metazoa; Chordata; Mammalia; Primates; Hylobatidae.